GCUGGCAUAGCUCAGUUGGCUAGAGCAGCUGUUUUGUAAACAGCAGGUCGGGGGUUCGAGUCCCUUUGCCAGCUCCA
This 77-nucleotide transfer RNA is filed under the name Campylobacterota bacterium. RNAcentral describes it as "Epsilonproteobacteria bacterium (hydrothermal vent metagenome) tRNA-Thr". It matches the Rfam family "tRNA". From Rfam's summary of the family: Transfer RNA (tRNA) molecules are approximately 80 nucleotides in length. The record is from RNAcentral. Lineage: Bacteria; Pseudomonadati; Campylobacterota.